This 512-nucleotide ribosomal RNA is filed under the name Parnassius staudingeri kiritshenkoi. Its description in RNAcentral is "partial 16S ribosomal RNA". The stretch from base 385 to 512 matches the Rfam family "Bacterial large subunit ribosomal RNA", at positions 2473 to 2600 of the family's 2925-position model. Lineage: Eukaryota; Metazoa; Arthropoda; Insecta; Lepidoptera; Papilionidae. The record is from RNAcentral. RNAcentral also lists the same sequence under 1 other name.
UUUUUGAUUAAUAAUUUAAAGUCUAAUCUGCCCACUGAUGAUAUAUUAAAGGGCUGCAGUAUUUUGACUGUACAAAGGUAGCAUAAUCAAUAGUCUCUUAAUUGGUGACUUGUAUGAAAGAUUUAAUGAGAUAUAUACUGUCUCUUUUUAAUUUAUAAAAUUUAAUUUUUUAGUUAAAAAGCUAAAAUAUAUUUAAAAGACGAGAAGACCCUAUAGAGUUUGAUAUUUAAUUAAAUUAAAAUUAUUUAUAAAAUUUAAAAUUUUAAUUUAAAUAAAUAUUUUGUUGGGGUGAUAAAAAAAUUAAAAGAACUUUUUUUAUAAUUUUACAUUAAUAAGUGAAUAAAUGAUCCGUAAUUUACGAUUAAAAGAAUAAAUUACCUUAGGGAUAACAGCGUAAUUUUUUUUUUUAGUUCAAAUAAGAAAAAAAGUUUGCGACCUCGAUGUUGGAUUAAGAUAAAAUUUAAAUGCAAAAGUUUAAAAUUUUUGAUCUGUUCGAUCAUUAAAAUCUUACA